UACAGAGGGGGCAAGCGUUGUUCGGAAUUACUGGGCGUAAAGGGCGCGUAGGCGGCCUGCUAAGUCGAACGUGAAAUCCCCGGGCUCAACCCGGGAACUGCGUCCGAUACUGGCUGGCUUGAAUCCGGGAGAGGGAUGCGGAAUUCCAGGUGUAGCGGUGAAAUGCGCAGAUAUCGGGAAGAACACCCGUGGCGAAGGCGGCUCUCUGGGACGGUACUGACGCUGAGACGCGAAAGCGUGGGGAGCGAACAGG
Molecule: ribosomal RNA, 253 nt
Filed under: uncultured bacterium
Lineage: Bacteria
Description: partial 16S ribosomal RNA
Rfam family: Bacterial small subunit ribosomal RNA
Source: RNAcentral